This 411-nucleotide ribosomal RNA is filed under the name uncultured microorganism. RNAcentral describes it as "bacterial SSU rRNA". It matches the Rfam family "Bacterial small subunit ribosomal RNA", at positions 9 to 424 of the family's 1533-position model. The record is from RNAcentral.
GAGUUUGAUCAUGGCUCAGAUUGAACGCUAGCGGGAUGCCUUACACAUGCAAGUCGAACGGCAGCACGGACUUCGGUCUGGUGGCGAGUGGCGAACGGGUGAGUAAUGUAUCGGAACGUGCCUAGUAGCGGGGGGAUAACUACGCGAAAGCGUAGCUAAUACCGCAUACGCCCUACGGGGAAAGCAGGGGAUCGCAAGACCUUGCACUAUUAGAGCGGCCGAUAUCGGAUUAGCUAGUUGGUGGGGUAACGGCUCACCAAGGCGACGAUCCGUAGCUGGUUUGAGAGGACGACCAGCCACACUGGGACUGAGACACGGCCCAGACUCCUACGGGAGGCAGCAGUGGGGAAUUUUGGACAAUGGGGGAAACCCUGAUCCAGCCAUCCCGCGUGUGCGAUGAAGGCCUCGGUU